This 293-nucleotide ribosomal RNA is filed under the name uncultured Eubacteriales bacterium. RNAcentral's name for it is "uncultured Clostridiales bacterium partial 16S ribosomal RNA". It matches the Rfam family "Bacterial small subunit ribosomal RNA", at positions 509 to 802 of the family's 1533-position model. Lineage: Bacteria; Bacillati; Bacillota; Clostridia; Eubacteriales. The record is from RNAcentral.
CAGCAGCCGCGGGUAUACGUAAGGACCGAGCGUUGUCCGGAAUCAUUGGGCGUAAAGGGUACGUAGGCGGUUAAAAAAGUUAGAAGUGAAAGGCUAUAGCUCAACUAUAGUAAGCUUUUAAAACUGUUUAACUUGAGAGAUGGAAGGGAAAGUGGAAUUCCUAGUGUAGCGGUGAAAUGCGCAGAUAUUAGGAGGAAUACCGGUGGCGAAGGCGACUUUCUGGCCAUUAUCUGACGCUGAGGUACGAAAGCGUGGGUAGCAAACAGGAUUAGAUACCCUGGUAGUCAAGGGCG